CGCAGGGAGAACUCAUGGCACGGAGGGAUCAGUGUGGAUGUGAGACUGUUGUGAAAAUUCAGAACCAAGAGGAAAUGGCCAACCCAUCUCCUGGAGAGAGCCUGAGGAUGUGGGACAGCCUGAGCUUCCAGCCCUCUGCCACUCUGAGCACUGGCAGCUUUGAGCAGGACUUGGGUGAGGGAGAUUUUGGCAGCACAGAGCUGGAGGAUAAACACGGGAGUCACCUGGACAUUUUGAGGCAAACCUCCUUACUACUGGCUCACAAACUGAAGCUCCAGCAGCAGCAGCAGCAACAUCGGCUUCUGGUGCUGAGGGAGAAGGCAAAGCAAGAGGUUGAGGAAAGCCACAGGUUUCUGAGGGACCUGCUGCAGCUCAGUUCAGAGGACAGCAGGAAUUCCAAAGGCAGUGAUCCUCCUGUGACAAGACCUUACCACGCAGAGCAGACACAAAGAGGACACUGGCUGGAAGGUGACCUUGCUGCUG
Molecule: long non-coding RNA, 483 nt
Filed under: Chloebia gouldiae (Gouldian finch)
Lineage: Eukaryota; Metazoa; Chordata; Aves; Passeriformes; Passeridae
Description: Erythrura gouldiae (Gouldian finch) lncRNA (ENSEGOG00005005727.1)
Source: RNAcentral